ACAAUCUCAUUAAUCACAAUCAACAUCAAUUAAUACAAUUAAUCUCAGCUAAUUAUAAGCAAAAGAGGGAUUAGGGUUUAGAAUUGUGCCUCUUGAGAUUUUCUGAACGAACUCUCCCCCUCUCCUCAAACGCGACGGCGACUUCGGCCUUCUCCGAUCGGAAAAACUCACAGCGCCGCCGUGAACAGUCCGAACACGUCUUCCUCUCAUCAGAACUCUUCGCUUUGCUCUCACCUCUCUCAAACGAUCUCAACGCAUCUUCGCUCAGAUUCUCCCGCUCGCCUCGCUCUCAAUCGAUUGCUUAGCACCAACAUUCUCCGUUCACGAUUCAACGAUCCAGACACUUUCUUCUUCUACUAUGCAAUUGACUUUGUGAUUGUUACUGAUGUUGAAUUGCUGUUGAUUUGUUGUAGUUUGAGGAUGAUGAUGAACAACGUUUUGGUUGCAGGAUUUUCGGAGGAGACUGAAGCGUGAAAGAAAGUGAAGAUUGCGAUGAUUGAUGAAGCUGAUAACGAUUCAGUUAUUGAUGCGGAUGAAUCAUUGAAGAUGAUGAAGAUUGUUGAGUGGUGAUUGAUGAUUGAAGACGAUGCUGAGAGAGAUGAAAAGCGAUGUGAAGAUUGAAGGUUAUGAAGGUUCGAUGAUGGAGAUUCACUGUUGAUUAUUGGAGCUUCAAGAAACGGUUACGGUUGAUGGUUCUUUUUGGAGAUGAAGAGAGAUUGAAGCUCUUUCUGAUUUUUCUUGGUGAUGAUUGAAUGAAUUGUGAUGAGGUUGAAGAUGAGUGAUGGUUGAAGAAGAAGCUUGAAGAAGAUGAAGACUCGAGAGAGUUUGUUACAGGUUUGGUUUUGUUGGUAUGAAGGACCGCUUAGUUGAGGUGCUGAAUCGGUUUUCUUGAGGUGAAGUGAAGUUUGAAGUUCAUACGGAUCGUGAAAGAAAAUUUGAAGAUUGUAGAAUACAGACUUGAAGCUAGAAGUGGCACGUGAUGUGAAGAUGGGAUCUUUGGAUUAUGACUUGGGCCUUUUGAAUGACUUGGGAAAUUUCAUGACUUGGCCUUUUGAAUGACUUGGCCUUUUUGAAUAUUUUUGUAACCUUUGGACAUCUGAAUUUUUUGUAAUGAAUUUUGUAAUGGACUUGAGAAAUUAUGUAAUGAACUUGGAGUGAAUUUUGUGAUAAUAUUGUAAUGAUAAUUGAAUGAAUGUUUGACUUA
Vicia villosa (hairy vetch) is the source of this 1204-nucleotide long non-coding RNA. RefSeq lists it as uncharacterized. The record is from RefSeq and is a predicted model, not a curated record. Lineage: Eukaryota; Viridiplantae; Streptophyta; Magnoliopsida; Fabales; Fabaceae. The transcript has 3 exons.